This 1440-nucleotide ribosomal RNA is filed under the name uncultured organism. RNAcentral's name for it is "SSU rRNA". It matches the Rfam family "Bacterial small subunit ribosomal RNA". The record is from RNAcentral.
AGGCUUAACACAUGCAAGUCGAGGGGCAGCAUGGUCUUAGCUUGCUAAGGCCGAUGGCGACCGGCGCACGGGUGAGUAACACGUAUCCAACCUGCCGUCUACUCUUGGACAGCCUUCUGAAAGGAAGAUUGAUACAAGAUGGCAUCAUGAGUCCGCAUGUUCACAUGAUUAAAGGUAUUCCGGUAGACGAUGGGGAUGCGUUCCAUUAGAUAGUAGGCGGGGUAACGGCCCACCUAGUCUUCGAUGGAUAGGGGUUCUGAGAGGAAGGUCCCCCACAUUGGAACUGAGACACGGUCCAAACUCCUACGGGAGGCAGCAGUGAGGAAUAUUGGUCAAUGGGCGAGAGCCUGAACCAGCCAAGUAGCGUGAAGGAUGACUGCCCUAUGGGUUGUAAACUUCUUUUAUAAAGGAAUAAAGUCGGGUAUGGAUACCCGUUUGCAUGUACUUUAUGAAUAAGGAUCGGCUAACUCCGUGCCAGCAGCCGCGGUAAUACGGAGGAUCCGAGCGUUAUCCGGAUUUAUUGGGUUUAAAGGGAGCGUAGAUGGAUGUUUAAGUCAGUUGUGAAAGUUUGCGGCUCAACCGUAAAAUUGCAGUUGAUACUGGAUAUCUUGAGUGCAGUUGAGGCAGGCGGAAUUCGUGGUGUAGCGGUGAAAUGCUUAGAUAUCACGAAGAACUCCGAUUGCGAAGGCAGCCUGCUAAGCUGCAACUGACAUUGAGGCUCGAAAGUGUGGGUAUCAAACAGGAUUAGAUACCCUGGUAGUCCACACGGUAAACGAUGAAUACUCGCUGUUUGCGAUAUACUGCAAGCGGCCAAGCGAAAGCGUUAAGUAUUCCACCUGGGGAGUACGCCGGCAACGGUGAAACUCAAAGGAAUUGACGGGGGCCCGCACAAGCGGAGGAACAUGUGGUUUAAUUCGAUGAUACGCGAGGAACCUUACCCGGGCUUAAAUUGCAGAUGAAUUACGGUGAAAGCCGUAAGCCGCAAGGCAUCUGUGAAGGUGCUGCAUGGUUGUCGUCAGCUCGUGCCGUGAGGUGUCGGCUUAAGUGCCAUAACGAGCGCAACCCUUGUUGUCAGUUACUAACAGGUUCCGCUGAGGACUCUGACAAGACUGCCAUCGUAAGAUGUGAGGAAGGUGGGGAUGACGUCAAAUCAGCACGGCCCUUACGUCCGGGGCUACACACGUGUUACAAUGGGGGGUACAGAGGGCCGCUACCACGCGAGUGGAUGCCAAUCCCCAAAACCUCUCUCAGUUCGGACUGGAGUCUGCAACCCGACUCCACGAAGCUGGAUCCGCUAGUAAUCGCGCAUCAGCCACGGCGCGGUGAAUACGUUCCCGGGCCUUGUACACACCGCCCGUCAAGCCAUGGGAGCCGGGGGUACCUGAAGUGCGUAACCGCGAGGAGCGCCCUAGGGUAAAACUGGUGACUGGGGCUAAGUAG